RNAcentral lists this ribosomal RNA (478 nucleotides) under uncultured bacterium. RNAcentral describes it as "partial 16S ribosomal RNA". It matches the Rfam family "Bacterial small subunit ribosomal RNA", at positions 28 to 523 of the family's 1533-position model. The record is from RNAcentral.
GACGAACGCUGGCGGCAUGCCUAACACAUGCAAGUCGAGCGAGUUGAUUUCUUCGGAAUGAAGCUAGCGUCGGACGGGUGAGUAACUCGUGGGCAACCUGCCUCAUCGAGGGGAAUAGCCUCCCGAAAGGAAGACUAAUCCCGCAUAAGAUUGUAGUACCGCAUGGUAUAGCAACUAAAGGAGUAAUCCGCAAUGCGAUGGGCCCGCGGCGCAUUAGCUAGUCGGUGAGGUAACGGCUCACCAAGGCGACGAUGCGUAGCCGACCUGAGAGGGUGAUCGGCCACAGUGGGACUGAGACACGGCCCAGACUCCUACGGGAGGCAGCAGUGGGGAAUAUUGCACAAUGGGGGAAACCCUGAUGCAGCAAUGCCGCAUGAGUGAUGACGGCCUUCGGGUUGUAAAGCUCUGUCUUCGGGGACGAUAAUAACGGUACCCGAGGAGGAAGCCACGGCUAACUACGUGCCAGCCGCCGCAGUAA